UACGGAGGGGGCUAGCGUUGUUCGGAAUUACUGGGCGUAAAGCGCACGUAGGCGGACAUUUAAGUCAGGGGUGAAAUCCCAGAGCUCAACUCUGGAACUGCCUUUGAUACUGGGUGUCUUGAGUAUGGAAGAGGUGAGUGGAAUUCCGAGUGUAGAGGUGAAAUUCGUAGAUAUUCGGAGGAACACCAGAGGCGAAGGCGGCGACCUGGACAGAUACUGACACUCAACUGCGAAAGCGUGGGGAGCAAACAGG
RNAcentral lists this ribosomal RNA (253 nucleotides) under uncultured bacterium. RNAcentral describes it as "partial 16S ribosomal RNA". It matches the Rfam family "Bacterial small subunit ribosomal RNA", at positions 524 to 776 of the family's 1533-position model. The record is from RNAcentral.